RNAcentral lists this long non-coding RNA (595 nucleotides) under Cyanistes caeruleus (blue tit). RNAcentral's name for it is "lncRNA (ENSCCEG00000010679.1)". The record is from RNAcentral. Lineage: Eukaryota; Metazoa; Chordata; Aves; Passeriformes; Paridae.
GCCCCAGAUAAACCUCUCUUUCAGAUUAUGGUUUCCAACUGAACUCCUGUGCACUGAAGAGAGGGCACCGAAUUCUUGAUUGUUUCAAGAAAACCUCUUUGAGUAAUCCCUUGAGCUUGCCUACAGGGCUUGGAUUUCCUAAUGGAUGCUUUGAUGACAGGAGAUAAGAGCCAAAGUAGUGAACUAAGAUCAGUCACACUGACCCACUGUGAGUAUUUCCUGAUUCUCCUAAUGAGGACAACCUCCCUGACAAAUCUGAUCCUGGAAACCCACAUAAUUUGGCACUGUAUCUGAAACAAUUGUCUUGCUGGUCCUUUUGGGAGGAAAGAGAAUCUUUUCUGAAGCAUGUUUGUAAGAAAUAGCAUGUUCUCAACACCAACAAAAGCAGAACAGCUCUCUUGCUACAGCUGAGCUUGGGAAAGUCCUGGAAGGACCCUGUGGAGCUUGGGAUUUCUUAAUCAGAACAGAGUUCUGCAGCCCUUUGAAGGCCCUGGCUCAUAUUGGUGAUGAUGGACGUGGAGUCCCACUCCCUCUGGGCAUACACGUUCACUCUCCCUCAUAUAUGAAGAAUAAAGGUGGAAUUUAAUGUUCCUUG